Molecule: ribosomal RNA, 440 nt
Filed under: uncultured bacterium
Lineage: Bacteria
Description: bacterial SSU rRNA
Rfam family: Bacterial small subunit ribosomal RNA
Source: RNAcentral
AACGCGAAGAACCUUACCUGGGCUAGAAAGUAUGCGGACCUGGUAGAAAUAUUGGGGUGCUCUUCGGAGAACGCAUGGUUAGGUGCUGCAUGGCUGUCGUCAGCUCGUGUCGUGAGAUGUUGGGUUAAGUCCCGCAACGAGCGCAACCCUUGUCCUGUGUUGGCAUGCCGCAAGGCGCAACUCUCAGGAGACCGCCAGCGAUAAGUUGGAGGAAGGUGGGGAUGACGUCAAGUCAUCAUGGCCUUUAUGUCCAGGGCCACACACGUGCUACAAUGGGCGGUACAAAGCGCUGCCAACCCGCGAGGGGGAGCUAAUCGCCAAAAACCGUCCUCAGUUCGGAUUGCAGGCUGCAACUCGCCUGCAUGAAGCUGGAAUCGCUAGUAAUGCUAUAUCAGAACGAUAGCGUGAAUACGUUCCCGGGCCUUGUACACACCGCUGUA